AAAAAAAAAAAAAAGAAGAAGAUGUACACAAGUGUAGAGGUGUAUGACCUGUGGAAGUCAUCAUUAAAAAUCAGGCUUCUUCCUCUGAAAUUCAGACCUUUCAACUGACCUUGCAAGAUCUUGGAGUUCCUUCACAUGCUUAGUCAUCCCUUUGCUUGAAUAAGCUUUAAUCAUGGUUCUGCAAGUGAUUUUAUCAGGUUUACAUCCUUUCUGCUCCAUCAGCUUGAGCACACCUUUCAUCUCGACAAAGUAUCCCAUUCUCCCAUAAGCAUCCGCCAAACAAUUGAAAAACACAGUAUCUAAUUUUAUAUCUGAAUUCUCAAUAAAUCGCAAGACCCCUCCAAUUUUUUCAGGUUUCCCAGCUUGCCCAUAAGCUCUCACAAGAGAGCAUAGUGUAACACAGCUUGGUUUGAUCCUCUCUGACUGCAUUAACUGAAACAAAUACCCCAUUCGUCUCAAAUCCCCAGCCCGCCCAAAUGCAUCAAUCACCACAUUGUAGGUUACAAUUGUCCACGAAUAAUGGUAUGCCUGCAUGUAUUCCAUCACUGCACUCAUUUUCUUAUAAUCUCCAGCUUUUCCAUAGGAAUCCAGGAGAAUGUUAAAAGUCAUGAUAGUGGGUUCAAUCCCUGCACUCUGUAACUUCUCAUAACACUUUUCCAUCAUUUCAAUUUGCCCACUGCUGCCAAAGGCUCUGAUCGUGGAGUUCAUGGUCCAAACAUCAGGUUCACAAUUUUUCUCACUAAGCAUCUUCACUAAUGUUGCUUCCAUCUCUGCAAACCUUUAAGAAAAUAGAAAUGAUGAGUUGUUUCUUUUGCAAUUGAAUAGCAUUGUCAUGCCCUAACUGGUUCCCAGACAUGAAAGCCAUUUUUUCUCCAUAAUGGCUAGGUGAAGAAAUUGAAUAAUUAAAAGGGAAAAAAAGAAAAAAGAAAAAGAAGACUUAAAACAAGAGGCAGCAGGGACGUAGUAAAGACAAAAGAAAAUGAGAAAAGCAACAACUAAUGUAAACGCAGAGAUGCUAGUCAAUGUCAACAAUUGAAUUGAGGACUGAAAAUUGACUGCUCAAUCUAUGCCUUGGGCAAAAAUAGAAUUCUCUGAAAACAGACGCAAUAUAUGUUUCAUAUUCUCAGCAACCAUAUGGGGCAUUCAAAAUUUAGAAAUUGGAGAGGGUCAAUAAGUUACAUUUUUGCUUUGCCAUAUGCAUCAAUGAGUGUGUUAUAUGUGAUUGUGUUGGGUCUGACUCCCAGAGAUUCCAUAUCAGAAAGUAGCAUCUGUGCUUUGUCGAAAGCAAAAACUUGGAGGCAUGACUUUAUGAGGAUUGAAUAAGUGUGAAUAUCAGGCUGGCAAUCAGGAUUGUUUUUCAUUUCCUCCAGUAGAGUAAAUGCUUUGUCAAAGAGACCGCUCCUGCCAUAGGCAGACAACAAAGCCGUAUAGGAUUCAUGGUUCACAACACAUCCUUCUCUAAUCAUAGCUUGAAAGAGCUCAUAAGCCUUCUCAGGUUGCUUACACUUUCCAAGCAAGACAAUGAGUUUGAUAUACAUACCAGAAUUGGGCCUGUACCAUAGCUGCUCUUGUAGCAGUUCGAAAACCUGAAUAUAAAGUAAAAUUUUCACUUCAUUGAGAUUGUAGUCUGAAGACAAUGACAUGGCAAAACUAGGCAAGUAGUAGUACAACAGAUCAACAAAAUGCAAAGGCUAUGCUAUUUCCAAGGCCAUUAUGGCCAUUAUGGCCAUUGCCACGGCUUAUUAAAGGAGAAAAAUAUGUUUUACCAAAAUUACUCUUUCUUAAUUCCUCCUGCAUCUGGGUUAUUUGGAUUAAAAAACUGCCUAGGAGCAUUCUACAGAAUAUCUAGCUGCUGUCCUUCACAUUGAAAACAUUAGCUGCUGUCAGCUCUUCCUUCAACUCAUGUAACCUCUCCUGGCUAAUGGUGUUGCCCUCCAGUCUCCAUUUUUAUUUGACAAUUUGAAAUUUAUGUCAAUUAGAAGUUUCAAUUGAAUGAAUCAAGGAUGGAUCUGUUGGGUUUAAGCUUGGGGAUGUUGCAGGUGGCUUAUAGCCUCGCAGAUAACAGGUACUGAUAAGACUAUCAUUUCCAAGUCUGAUGAUAACAAAGGUAACAAAACACAAAGAAAGGACCCAAGGGAUCUGGUGCUUUACCGAGAUUGAAUCCCAUUGUUGCAUUUGGGCCCUCUUCAUGAAGAAACAUGUCUGUACUUUAGUCUGUAGUGCAGCAAGAAUUUGGGAUGUCAGAUUAAUUUGAAUACACGACAAAAGGAUUCUGCUUCUCCCAAUUUCUGCAACUGGUUUUGCUUGUCAGGCUUGGAUUAUCUAUUCCUGUUUUCUUCCGUAGUUGUCUCAAUUACCGAAAAGCACUAGGAUUUCUCUUCAUUUCUUUUUAAACGUGAGACUAACUUUGAAUUUGCCCAUUGCAAUUCACAACUGUUAAGCUCAAUUUGCUUUAGUCUGACUUGAUUAGUGUCUUUAUAUUCCACUUAAUAUGAAGCACAAGCACAAAUAUAUCCAACAGGUUCUCAGCAACCAAAGCAGCAUGAAUAGUGAGUAGAAACAGACGUCCAUCUCCAAAAAAAAAAAAGCGUACACACAUUGAAUUGAAUUGAAAUCAAUCGAAUUGACGUACCUUGAGAGCAGACUCCCAGCGAAAAGCGGUGAUUCUCUCGUGAAGAGCUUCGAGGACAGUCGUUGGAAGCAAUUUCUUUGAAUUGGUAGGACCUCUCUUUUUCUCAAUAGUAGCUUUUGUUGCAUCUCUUCGAAGAAUCACAGAAAUCGCCUUCCUCGACGCAAUUUUCCGGUUCACUUCCUCUUUUUUCUCUUUCGCCUCUCUCUUCUUCACCUUUUCCCAGUCUAUUGCCCGUCUUCUUUGGCCUCUCUGUGUCACAGCUAGCGCCGCAUCAUUGUUUGAAGGAGAAGGAAUAGAGAGUGGUUCUGUUUCGGGUAUGGAUACAGAAACGGGUACCGAUAUGCCAUGCACAGGCUUUGGGCUCGUCAAUCGAUGCCGGUGCAAUGUAUUGGGGUAAGGAUUUGCGGAGCCGGAGAGUGCGGUCAUCGUUGGUUCUGACUGCACCUGCUGACACUGAAAUUGAAGAUAAUUGUUUCGAUGGGCCUCGCAUAGCUGAUGGAACGCUUCCGGAGGCCCAGGAAAACACCAUGUUAGUACAGCAGGCCAGGCCACGAGUCGGUUUUGGAAUCAAUUCUAUAUGAAUAUGGUUUCGCCUUUUUGAUUCUUUUAAAAUUGAUUUCGAUUAAAUUCAUUACUUUCUAUUUUUAUUUAAUUUUUAAAUAAAAACUACCAAUCAAGUUUUAAUUUAUAAAUAUAAAAGUAUGAAUAGUUAAUUUUUUUUUAGUUACACUGUUGUACUCAUUUAAUGACAAUUAAAUAAUUUUGAUACUUCAAUUUAAAUCAUAAUAAAUAAAUUAUAUAUUAUUAAUGGCCAAUUAAUGAAAAUUAAAAUUUACUAUACAUAUUGAAGAUCUUUUAUAAAUAUUUGGAAGGCCAACUAAGAAUUUGAGAUACUAAUUAAAUGGAAAUCAUUGCCACCCUUUCCGCCUUUGCUAUACAAUUAUAUGAUAUUUACUCUUCUUAUUUCAUGAAGGACUUAUAUUUUUGUGAAUGAGAGCACUACAUCACAAAUGUUAUAAAUUUCUCUAUUUUUCAUCCGAAGUAAUUAAAAAUCCUUGGAUUAGACCAAUGAGCUAAGUCCCAAUCCAGC
This 3722-nucleotide unclassified non-coding RNA is filed under the name Hevea brasiliensis (rubber tree). Lineage: Eukaryota; Viridiplantae; Streptophyta; Magnoliopsida; Malpighiales; Euphorbiaceae. The record is from RNAcentral.